UCUUUGGUGGUUCAGUGGCUAAGACUCUGCACUCCCAAUGCAAGGGGCCCAGGUUCGAUCCCUGGUCAGGGAA
Molecule: transfer RNA, 73 nt
Filed under: Bos taurus (domestic cattle)
Lineage: Eukaryota; Metazoa; Chordata; Mammalia; Artiodactyla; Bovidae
Also listed under: 2 other names
Rfam family: tRNA
About the family: Transfer RNA (tRNA) molecules are approximately 80 nucleotides in length. Their secondary structure includes four short double-helical elements and three loops (D, anti-codon, and T loops).
Source: Rfam by way of RNAcentral